CGCGGCCUAUCAGCUUGUUGGUGGGGUAAUGGCCUACCAAGGCGGCGACGGGUAGCCGGCCUGAGAGGGUGUACGGCCACAUUGGGACUGAGAUACGGCCCAGACUCCUACGGGAGGCAGCAUUGGGGAAUAUUGCACAAUGGGCGCAAGCCUGAUGCAGCGACGCCGCGUGGGGGAUGAAGGCCUUCGGGUUGUAAACUCCUUUCGCUGGGGACGAAGCUUUGUGUGACGGUACCUAGAUAAGAAGCACCGGCUAACUACGUGCCAGCAGCCGCGGUAAUACGUAGGGUGCGAGCGUUGUCCGGAAUUACUGGGCGUAAAGGGCUCGUAGGUGGUUUGUCGCGUCGUCUGUGAAAUUCUGGGGCUUAACUCCGGGCGUGCAGGCGAUACGGGCAUAACUUGAGUGCUGUAGGGGUAACUGGAAUUCCUGGUGUAGCGGUGAAAUGCGCAGAUAUCAGGAGGAACACCGAUGGCGAAGGCAGGUUACUGGGCAGUUACUGACGCUGAGGAGCGAAAGCAUGGGUAGCGAACAGGAUUAGAUACCCUGGUAGUCCAUGCCGUAAACGGUGGGCGCUAGGUGUGAGGGUCUUUCUACGACUUUCGUGCCGUAGCUAACGCAUUAAGCGCCCCGCCUGGGGAGUACGG
This 645-nucleotide ribosomal RNA is filed under the name uncultured bacterium. Its description in RNAcentral is "bacterial SSU rRNA". It matches the Rfam family "Bacterial small subunit ribosomal RNA", at positions 232 to 885 of the family's 1533-position model. The record is from RNAcentral.